CUAAAACAAGCCUUAUCAUGCGGUUACAACACAUCCUGCACGCAUUUUGGGUUGUCUUUAUUAAAUGGUACAGAGUGCUUCUGAGACGAUGCCUCAAUCAUCUUCAUGUAUCGGGAUUCUUGAUUUUCUUCGCGGAAAGAACUACUUCAUCACUGGCGCAACUGGCUUUGUAGCUAAAGUUUUAAUCGAGAAGAUACUGCGAGCAGUUCCUAAAGUGGGAAGAAUUUAUCUCUUGAUAAAGGAGAAAGACAAGGACGCUGCUGUGGAAAGAUUGAAAAAUGAGGUCAUAGGUGAGGAGCUGUUCAAGUGCUUGAAACAAAUUCAUGGAAAAUCUUAUGAAGCGUUCAUGAUGAGUAAGCUAGUUCCAUUGUCUGGGAAUCUAUGUGAAUAUAAUCUAGGGAUGGAUUCUGAUACAGCUACUGAAAUUGCAAGACAUGUCCAUGUGAUUGUGAACUCAGCAGCCAACACAACACUUGAUGAAAGGUAUGAUGUCGCUCUUAACGUAAACACCCAAGGACCUGCUUGGUUAUUAGACUUUGCAAAGAAGUGCAAAAACCUUAAACUGUUCUUACAUGUUUCCUCUGCGUAUGUUAAUGGGGAAAGAGAAGGAAUAAUCUUGGAGAGGCCUUUCCAUCUGGGACAAAGCAUAGCAGAGGAAAGGAUCCCCCCAACUUCUGUCCCUUGGUUGGAUGUCAGUGCUGAGAUCAAGUUGGCUUCUGAUAUGAUGGAAUCUCUCGGGGAUGAUAAUGAAGGAGCUCAAAAAAUGAGAGAUCUGGGGAGGGAGAGGUUUACACAUAUAUACAUACUCAAAGUGCCUGCUGUGAAAAAUUAUUCCUACAAAUAAAAUUAAAGAAAACCAACAACACCAUAUUUAAUUAUCUUCUUCUUUUUGGCUAAUUAUUGCAUGAAUGACUAUGAUGAAUUGAGACAGGGCAAGAAUCUAUGGAUGGCAAAACACGUACGUUUUCACCAAAGCCAUGGGUGAGAUGCUAAUCAAUAGCAAGAGAGAGAAUCUACCAAUUGUGAUCAUCCGCCCAAGCAUUAUUGAGAGCACCUACUCAGAGCCCUUCCCUGGAUGGAUACAAGAAAACAGAGUAACUGACCCAGUGUUCAUAUCAUAUGGGAAAGGUCAGCUUCCAGGUUUUGUUGGGAACCCCAAAACAGUUCUUGACAUUGUAAGCAGCUUAUGAAUUUGUGCGCUAAUAACCUUAUUUAUCCAUGCUUUCCUGCACUCAUCACGAAGUAUAUGUUUAAUGCAAAUCUAGAUACCUGUGGAUAUGGUGGUGAAUGCCAUUAUAGCAGCCGUGGCAAAGCAUGGGACUGUUGGUAAAGCACAACUACGUGUGUACCAUGUUACAUCAUCUGUCUCUAAUCCUAUUUCCUUUGGCCAAGUAUUCGACUUUGCCUGUGAUCACUUCACUUCUUUUCCACUACUGAACUCAAAAGGGAAAAUUAAGGAAUUCAAGUAUUUCAGCUCAAUGGACAGUUUUUCUUCUUACAUUAGGGACGAAACAGAACAGCAAAUUGGACUAAACGAAGAUCUAUCCACUUUAGAUCCCAAGUUGCGUCUCCAGAUGCGAACAGAAUGUGCCAAUAGGCUUCAGCGAUUCGCCCGCAUGGCUGAAUUAUAUGAACCCUAUGCAUUUUAUAAAGGAUGGUUCGACUGCAGCAACAUUAAGGAAUUGAUCCAAAACAUGUCGACUCAAGAGAAGAAAUUGUUUCGAUUUGAUGUGGAGAGCAUAAAUUGGAAGCAUUACAUAAAAAACGUUCACCUUCCAGGCCUGCGGAGGCAUGUUAUGAAAGAAAAGCUUGUAGCAGUUGCAAGAUUGUGAUAAUCUAGGCAGUAAGAAAUAGCUGUGAACCCUCAAGCCUGUGAAGAAAUUGGCCUUUGUUCGCUUACACAUUCUGUUAGAAUAUAAUGGUGUUUGUAUGAUUUGUACGUGUAAUAUAACAUCAUAUCAAUGACCUUGUAUAAAAAGAAUAUUGGAAUAAAUUUCUCUGAGCAUAGAACAAACAUUGGCUACGACUUCUGAGAAUGAAGAAAAUAAAUAAACUAUACCCUGAACUUGGUUGAUCUGAUCUGAUAUUCAGAAACUUCUUCCUCUAGCUAAGUGGAAUGCUGGAUGUUAGUUCUCGCGCAGAUAAUCGAGGUGCAGUGAUUACUCCAACAAACUGGCCCCUCUAGUACAUUAUUAUUCCAAAAGUGGUUCCAUCAAAGGUUUGGAGCAGGGUGUGUUGAGUUUCAUAGUGUAUGUAACAGCCACACCAACAAGCGAACAGAAGGCUGGAACUAGACCCAAACCACAUCUUGUGACUGAAAUAUAAUUUGUGGAAAGGGAAUUCUGGACUUUAGGUGACAUGCCUGCAACAAAAGGCACAGUUUUAAGUAGGAAUAGGGGACUAUAGAUAAGGAACCGUGUUUACUGAAUCUACCAUGCAUAUAAAACAACAUACGUUGCCUUAUUUUCGUUCUCUCCCUUUUGUAGGAGAAGAAAAGGUUGGAACAGGCCUUGCAAUUGAAGACAACUUACUUUGAAAUGAUUGAAGAGCAUACAGAGCCAGACCACAUGAAAUCUUGUCUACGAAGCUUAACGAACCACAUACAAAUGCACAGCCAUUGAGGUCUGAACCAACGAGAACACUCUGCAUGCUUAUUCCAGUUACCUAUUAUUCAUAUUUGCAGAAGAAAGGGAGGGGUUUUGGUUGGGGGGCGGGGUUGUGUUUGGGGGGUUGGUGUGAGAGGAGGGAGAACCAACAAGAGCAGCAAAAAUUAAGUAAUCUGUAACUGCUAAGAUUAGGUGCAUUUCAGGAAAAAAUAUAUAUACAAAAGAAAUGAGAAAAAAAAUAUAUAUAUUUGAGAAGUAUAAUAAGAUGAAAGCAGAAAAUCCAGGCCUUCAUCAUCAAUUUGACAAACCCAUAGUUCAUUCCAUAUUUCCACCUAUAUGCAACAGCUAAUCCAUUUCUUCCCCAACACUCUACAACUUUGAGUUUCAUAACAAUAUUUUAAAAACCAAUAAUAGCAACCCCAUUAUCAAAAAUAAUGCUAACCCAUGAUUUUGUAACCAUUUGACCCCAGCUUAUCUUGUUGAGAGAUUAUAACAUGUCACCAGAGAACAAUUAUUACAUGCACAGAAGAAGGUGGGGGAAGCAAUCAAGACUUAUCCUCACACACCAUAAUGUAGUUGAAAAAACAAUUGAUUGAUAUUCCACAUAAUAAAGCAGAGAUUAAAGCAAAGAAUCCCACAUCAUACCGUCAUUAGAGCAUUUGCUAUUCCAAUACAUAUGGAUAUGACAUACAUAAAACCGCUCAUGCUCCUAGGUAAAAGAAAGAUGCUAGCACCACAAAAUAUCCAAAGAAUGCCACCAGCAGAAUAGUAGGCUUUCAGGCGUUGUCCAGUCCAAGAUAUUUCCUGCAUAAUGAUAGAUAUGACAAAGCUGCUGAUGUAGAUAAUUGCAGGUACCAAAGCUUUAGCUGAUUGAGCCAUGCGCAAAUCAUUAAUCACAUAGAAUGCAAGAUAUGCCUGUGAAACAUUUUGUACAAGUCUGGUAAGCAAAUACACAAUUCCAACUUGAUAGUAUAAUAUUUUCUUGAACCAGUAAGUCCAUGAUACCCUUGAACAACAAUUUCCAUGUACGCUUAUCUUUAAUCUUGGCUCCUUGGUUCCAAGAUGAAAUAGUCCCACAAAGCAGCAUCCAAUAAAAAUUGACAGGUACGCAAUCCAUCGGUACUGAUUUUCAAUAUCAGCAUGUGUUUUUGCUUCACUGACAUUGAAUACUAUCAAGGCAACUGCAUAGAGGCUGAGAUUAGCAACCAUUGUAAAAGCAUUUCGACAACUUGCCAUCACCACCCUGCUUGUUGAGUUCAGGGAGAUGCAAUUCAUCAUAGACAUGUGUGAAACUUGAGUAGCAGCCCAACCCACAUUGAAGAUUGCAGCAAAGACACUAUAUGAUACCGUUUCUAUUGUUGAUGAAUGGUUAGCAAAGAUUUCACAAGGCCAGCAGCCACCGAAAACAGAAGAAAAUGAAAUGGCAACCAAAACAGAUCCUGCACCAUGCCAUAUUUUGAAAUGCCCAAACCUGUCUAUCAGUUCGCCUGAAAAUAUGGUAGCAAAUCCAUCAGCUAUCUGACCUGAAAGCAUUACUGUAGCAGCAUCUCUUGGGGACAGUCCUAUAUCUGUUAAAAACAAUAACAGAUAAGUAAACCAACAGGCAGCAGUGAUGUCAUUUAGCAUGUGGCCCACACCAUAAUAGAAAACAGAUAAUCUUCCAACAGGGUUAGGAUGUGAAAUAUCAUCUUCAAUAUCAUCACCCAUUUAUCCUACAAAGGUUAAAUCUUUAACUUCUUAAACCAUGUCCAGAAGAGUAGUUUCAGAUCUGUGGAAACCAGGAAAAGAGAACCGUGGGAGCACUGAUGAACGAAAGAGAAUCUGAAGCACAAGAUGAUGAAGGCCGAAGGAAUAAGCAACCAAUGGCUGAGAUGGUAAAUUGGAUUCACGUAAGAAUCCAAAAAUGUCAACUCUAGCUAUUAGGAGAAGAGAAGAUGAGUCGCAACCGCUGAAUCAGUCAUCAAAGCGGUGCAUUUUGUUUUCUUGUGCUCCAC
RNAcentral lists this unclassified non-coding RNA (4600 nucleotides) under Hevea brasiliensis (rubber tree). The record is from RNAcentral. Lineage: Eukaryota; Viridiplantae; Streptophyta; Magnoliopsida; Malpighiales; Euphorbiaceae.